CAGUCGCCACGGUAAUACAGAGGGUGCGAGCGUUAAUCGGAAUUACUGGGCGUAAAGCGUGCGCAGGCGGUUUGUUAAGACAGAUGUGAAAUCCCCGGGCUCAACCUGGGAACUGCAUUUGUGACUGGCAGGCUAGAGUAUGGCAGAGGGGGGUGGAAUUCCGCGUGUAGCAGUGAAAUGCGUAGAUAUGCGGAGGAACACCGAUGGCGAAGGCAGCCCCCUGGGCCAAUACUGACGCUCAUGCACGAAAGCGUGGGGAGCAAACAGGAUUAGAUACACCAGUAGUCCCUGUCUCUUAUAC
Molecule: ribosomal RNA, 301 nt
Filed under: uncultured bacterium
Lineage: Bacteria
Description: partial 16S ribosomal RNA
Rfam family: Bacterial small subunit ribosomal RNA
Source: RNAcentral